This 1267-nucleotide long non-coding RNA is filed under the name Brachypodium distachyon (stiff brome). RNAcentral's name for it is "long non-coding RNA (BDIS_LNC002503)". Lineage: Eukaryota; Viridiplantae; Streptophyta; Magnoliopsida; Poales; Poaceae. The record is from RNAcentral.
UGGCGCAAACCCUGUUGAACUAACCUGAGCUAGCUACUUGGGGGCUCGCGCGGCGGCCACGGCAAGGCAUGAACACCGGCGACCACGGCAAGCGGCGGAGGGCUAACUACCGCGGAUAAACGGCGACGCGCAGAAACAAUCUAGGUGACACGACGGUCACCACACAACCCUUAGCGAGGAGGCGGCGCGGCUGAGCACAGAAGCUCGCCGGCGGCAAGCCGAAGCGUGCGGGCAGUGCUACGACGCUACGGUGCGCGAAAGAAGGCGCGGAAAAAGGCGAGAGAGAGAGGAGCUCACCCCGGUGACGUGAGAGGAAGCUGACGAGGUUUGCACGGACGUGCUCGCUAGAAUUUCGUCGGAGACGGGCGGCGGCCGGAGAGGAAGAAGUCGUCCUAGGCGUCGAUGUAGGCGAUCUCGCUCCGAUUCCUUGCACCCACGCGUAGAGGAAGAAGAGGCGCACUCGGUGACGCGGUCGGGGCGUCGUGGUUAGGCCAGGGGCGGCGGCGCGACACAGUGGCGUCCACGGCCCGGGAAGACGGCGACGGCGGCGGUGCAGAAGGAGGGAGAGGAAACCCUGGCUAGGGUUUGCCGUGCGCUGCGGAAGGGAGGAAGCACGGCGCAGCUGAAGUAGGCGAGGAGGAGGUGGCUGUCGUUGUUGCCGCGGACGUGGCGCGCGAGGGCUCCACCGGUCGGGAGGACGAAAAGCAGAGGAGGAAGAUGACGCUGUGAGAGGUGGUGCGUUUUGGUGAUUACGUCUUCGCAGCGGGGAAGCGUAACGUGGGGCGGCGCGCGAGGCUGCGGGGCCGAGCUGGGCUGCGGGCGCGGCGGGAGAAGGUGGGCUGCGGCGGGCGCGCGGGAGAAGGGCCGAGGCGGCUGGGCCGGCUCGGGCCAAAAGGUAAGCAGGUGAGGUUUUUAUUUUUUUUUCUUUUUUCUUUUUCCUUUUCUGUUUUCUGUUUUGCAAAUAACUUUGGAUUCAAAAUUCAAACACCAAUUUUGAAGAGGUGAGGAAUAGGAGAGUUUAAAUAUAGUGCUAGUAUUUGAAAAUGUUCAAAUGGAUGUAAAGAUUGAAAAUCCAUUUGACUCUCUUUUACAAAUUAUGGAAAAGGAAUUCAAACUCCAAGAAGGAAAAAUUCAUAUUUGAAUCUUCUAGCAAAUUCAAACAACAAGAAUUCAAACCACAAGUUGAGAUGCAAUUUAAAACUCAUGUGACACAAAUAAAUAGACAUGGCAUGGCAUGAAUGCAAUGUAAAAUGUUAUGCAACAAGAA